Molecule: long non-coding RNA, 798 nt
Organism: Gasterosteus aculeatus aculeatus (three-spined stickleback)
Lineage: Eukaryota; Metazoa; Chordata; Actinopteri; Perciformes; Gasterosteidae
Source: Ensembl
ACAAAUGAUAGUGUGUCUGUGUGUACAUCUAAUUGUUAGUGUGUCCGUGUGUACAUCUAAAUGCUAGUGUGUCUGUGUGUACAUCUAAAUGUUAGUGUGUGUCUUUGUUUAGAACCAAAUGACAGUGUGUCUGUGCGUAUAUCUAAUUGUUAGUGUGUCUUUGUGUACAUCUAACUAUUAGUGUGUGUCAUUGUUUAGAACCAAAUGAUAGUGUGUCUUUGUUUAGAUCCAAAUGUUAGUGUGUCUGUGUGUACAUCUAAUUGUACAUCUAAAUUUACCAGCAUGUCUAAAUGUUAGUGUGUCUCUGAGUACAUCUGUGUGUAUGUGUGUGUGUGUGUGGGGGUGUGUGUGUGUGUGUCAUGAGUAGAUCUGGAUUUGCUCCUGAGGGGUUGACGCGGCGUCCUGAUGGCGUCCUGUUGGUCUGCAGACAAGGAGAAGAGACGUGAGGAGGAUCAUCAGGAUGUGUCUGUGUGUACAUCUAAUUGUUAGCGUGUCUGUGUGUAGAUCUAAUUGUUAGUGUUUGUGUGUACAUCUAAUUGUUAUUGUGUCUUUGUGUACAUCUAAAUAUUAGUGUGUGUCAUUGUUUAGAACCAAAUAAUAGUGUGUCUGUGUGUACAUCUAAUUGUUAGUGUGUCUGUGUGUACAUCUAAAUAUUAAUGUGUCUUUGUGUACAUCUAAAUAUUAUGUGUGUCAUUGUUUAGAACCAAAUGAUAGUGUGUCUGUGUGUACAUCUAAUUGUUAGCGUGUCUGUGUGUACAUCUAAAUAUUAAUGUGUCUUUGUGUACAUCUAGAUGUUAG